AGUCGAUCAGGGCGGACACUUCAGGCCUCAAAUGAGCUGUCCCCGCUACUCUUGCCAAUCAUUUCAUUCUAAUGGGCUAUGAUGGUGGUGAAUUCAUUAACCCUCUUCCAAGGACUCCGACCCAGUCCCUUGGCUGAUUCAAGGCUGCUUGCCAUUAUUGGGUCCUCGCCGGCGACGAACGCGCCAGAGGCACCGCGACAGGUUCGGAUUGAGACUUCGCUCUAAUCAGGAGGACUUAAGCAGAUUCAGGAUCCGCGUGCUGAAGGUUGUUCGACCGUUUGCAUCCGAUGUAGAAAUGUCAC
RNAcentral lists this small RNA (302 nucleotides) under Histoplasma capsulatum. RNAcentral describes it as "hypothetical RNA". RNAcentral also lists the same sequence under 1 other name. The record is from RNAcentral. Lineage: Eukaryota; Fungi; Ascomycota; Eurotiomycetes; Onygenales; Ajellomycetaceae.